GUACUCUCGAUUCAUCUUUUGUUUUUGGAUGCAAAGUGCGGCUGUAAAGGAGAGUACAGCUCAUUAUGAGGCUGAGGUGAGGCCGUCUCUGCAGCAGAGUCUCAGAUGGAGGUAAUGAGGAGAGUUUGUCCUCCACAGAGGAGCAGGAGGAGCAGGAGGAGGAGGAGGAGGAGGAGGAGGCUCAAACACUUUAACAUAUAACACUUAAGGAAGGAUAUACAGGACGUGUAAAACUCAUCAUACAGCCAACAAACGAGCUGUAAAAGCAGGAAACAGUCUCUAUAAACGUCAGGUCUUUGAGUCUUUGAGGUUAAAAUUAAAUUCAUCAGAAUCUGUUACAGGAUGAAACAGAAGAAAGAAAUUAUUUUACAGCUUUGAAGAGCAGCUGCUUUUGUUGUGCUUUUAUUUUGGUAUUACAGUCUUACAUCCCAUUUGAUUAAGCCCACUUUUAUUUUGAAAGGCCAAAUGAAGGUCACUCUUUAAUUUAAAGACCGAAAUAUCAGUUUAUAUCAGAAAAAUAAACACAGUUUUAUUUUGAAAGGUAAAAUACCAAACCUCAGAUACAUCCUGAAGAGACUUUAGUGAGUAAAAACUGUCAGUAUAAAGACUGCAGUGGAACAUCGGGAACAUCGGUCACUCGUCUUAUGAACACUUAGAGUAACACUGGCGUUCCUGAAAGCUGAUUAACGAUGUGGUGAAGCUGACCCCGCCUCCAUUUGGGUCUCCAGCCUGUUUCUGGACAAAGAGGCGGAGCCGACUGCAGCCUCUGUGGGACAUUCGCCCCACCCUCUUCAAAAACACCAACACUCCUUUAAAACGACCCCAUCCUCCACAGACCUGCCAUGUUUAGAGACAGAUUCAGCCCCCCCGCUGACUGAAAUCCAGAGUCCUGAUCCAGCAGUGAUUACAUUUACACUCUGCUGUGUGUCUCUGUGACCCCCGUGGAGAUAAUGUCAGGAUCGGUUUCAGACAGAAUCAAAUCUCCACGCCGUCUUCCUCUGAGUCUGAAUCGUCACAGGAGCUCAGGAGGGAAGAGGGAAAAAUCACACGUCUCUCAAGGUCAGAGGAGCGUGCGAGUGUGUGCGGUUACUCGGUGAAGACAGGGCGCCUCUGCUCUCCAGGGGCUCUCUGAUUGGCUGGCUGAUAUGUUACCAUGUGAAUACGCAGAGACAAAGAGUGAUCAUCCUCAUCCUCACAGAGCGCCGCUUCACUCUGCCAGGAGAGCGCACACAAACAACUCUGCAGAUUAGGUAAACUUCUGCUAAACGCUCCUCCUGGUAUGUUGGCAGCGGCGGGAAAACGGCGACAUGAUUUUAUGAGCAUGAGCUCGACUUGGACCGACAAACAGAACCGUGUUGACUGUGAUCAUUUUCCAGUAAAUACAGGCUCAGCAGAGUAAACUCGUCCUCCCUGAAGGUAAUGCCAGGACUUUGUUCAGCAGUUUCAGGAACUCCUGUUGGGAGUUUGAGGAGAAGUUUCAUCUUCGUGUUUUUCAGAGCCGGUUUAGCUCUCGGUGUUUAUGAAGCUGGUCUCACGCACGGCUAACAACGCUCCCCUGGCUCCUGAUUGGAUGUAGGAAACUGAUCACGCUUUAUAAGAAGUCGGAGUUUGAAGAAUAGUUUCAUAUUUGUGUUUAUCCCCUCGUUCUUUCAGAUGUGGUGAUUUUUUGUGUUCAGACGUCCGUCUCUGUUUACGUGUCGUUGCCAUGGUUGCAUUUGUUGCGCUUCUGCUUCGGUCAGCUCACUUCCUGAUUGGCUUUUGAGUUGUCCAACUUAAAGGUCACCACAUUGUUAUUAAUUCUCAGGCUUUCUGUCCAUUUUUCUUUCUCAGUUUCGGUCUCAGCAGACUCCAUUAUACUGAUGUAUUUGUCUUGCUCCACACUAAGUGUGCCAAUGAACAUGUCAUCCUCUUCUUCACUCUGCACUACAGCAUGCAUUCUCCUUCUGUAUUGCUGCUGCUUCUUCCAUGAGCCUGACUGACUCUGUGAUCUGCACAUUUUAGCAAAGUGAUUUUUCUUUUGACACUUUUUGCAUAUUUGGCCAAGUGCAGGACAUGCAUUAGCUCCAUGUUUAAAGCCACAUCUAUUGCAGCUCGCCUCGGUCUGCUGUUCUGCAUUUGCUUUCACUCGAAAGUCUUUCUUUUUGACAGUUUUAACAGCGUUCAUUUCAACCUCUUCUGUCAGUGCUUUGACUUGAGUAUUUGGUAGCUCGCUCGCCCUGCAAAUAUCAACGGCCUUUUUCAGUGUCAAAUCAGCCUCUCUCAACAGUCUGCCUCUCACUUGGUCGUUAGUUAUUCCACACACAAUGCGGUCACGUACCAGGGAAUCGUGCAGAUCUCCAAACUCGCAGUCCUUUGCCUUGCUCUUUAGAUCCGUCACAUAUGAAUCAAUGGGCUCCGACUGCUUCUGUGCUCGGGUAAAGAAUACGUGCCGUAUGUACGUUAAGUUCUUCCGCGGCUCACAGUACUCCUUAAAUUUCCUCUCCAGCACAGCUAUCUUGUCCUUCUCCGCGUCGGCGAAGACGAAUGUGUUGCACACCUUAAUCGCCUCCUCU
Xyrichtys novacula (pearly razorfish) is the source of this 2552-nucleotide non-coding RNA. The record is from the annotation of a GenBank genome assembly. Lineage: Eukaryota; Metazoa; Chordata; Actinopteri; Labriformes; Labridae.